AAAUACAUAGAACUUGAAAAGUCCGGAACCUUCUCGGCUCUCCAAAUAUCAGAGGGAACCUGCCAACGUUGUCUGUCUCUUUCGCUAGUUGCAGAGGAAGCGAACCAUUACAGGGGUUAGUUUCUUAGUGCCCAAGUAUUGUUUGCCAAAGACUCAAAGAGGAACCCAAUUCUAGAGCCUACAUGCGUGGAACAGCUGUGUUAUCACCUGCAAAAUACAAAUUUAAACAAAUCUACCCUUUGACAAGAUCAUGGGGUACCGUGGCCACUU
Molecule: long non-coding RNA, 270 nt
Organism: Quercus lobata
Lineage: Eukaryota; Viridiplantae; Streptophyta; Magnoliopsida; Fagales; Fagaceae
Exons: 3
Source: RefSeq, a predicted model, not a curated record